UGAGGAAUCUUGCGCAAUGGGGGAAACCCUGACGCAGCGACGCCGCGUGGAGGACGAAGGCCUUCGGGUCGUAAACUCCUGUCAAGAGGGACGAAGUCCGUGCGGAUGAAUAAGCCGUACGGUUGACGGUACCUCUGGAGGAAGCCCCGGCUAACUCCGUGCCAGCAGCCGCGGUAAUACGGAGGGGGCCAGCGUUGUUCGGAAUUAUUGGGCGUAAAGGGCGCGCAGGCGGCCAGGUAAGUCAGACGUGAAAUCCCGCGGCUCAACCGCGGAACUGCGUUUGAAACUGCCUGGCUUGAGUCCCGGAGAGGAUAGCGGAAUUCCCAGUGUAGCGGUGAAAUGCGUAGAUAUUGGGAGGAACACCAGUGGCGAAGGCGGCUAUCUGGACGGGUACUGACGCUGAGGCGCGAAAGCAUGGGGAGCAAACAGGAUUAGAUACCCCCGUAGUCC
Molecule: ribosomal RNA, 450 nt
Filed under: uncultured prokaryote
Description: bacterial SSU rRNA
Rfam family: Bacterial small subunit ribosomal RNA
Source: RNAcentral